UCUACGGGAGGCAGCAGUGGGGAAUAUUGCACAAUGGGGGAAACCCUGAUGCAGCGACGCCGCGUGCGUGAAGAAGUAUUUCGGUAUGUAAAGCUCUAUCAGCAGGGAAGAAAAUGACGGUACCUGAUUAAGAAGCCCCGGCUAACUACGUGCCAGCAGCCGCGGUAAUCCGUAGGGGGAAAGCGUUAUCCGGAUUUACUGGGGGUAAAGGGAGCGUAGACGGCUGUACAAGUCUGGAGUGAACUGCCGGGGCUUAACCCCGGAACUGCAUGUGAAACUGGGCAGCUAGAGUGCAGGAGAGGUAAGUGGAAUUCCUGGUGUAGCGGUGAAAUGCGUAGAUAUUAGGAGGAACACCAGUGGCGAAGGCGGCUUACUGGACUGUAACUGACGCUGAGGCUCGAAAGCGUGGGGAGCAAACAGGAUUAGAUACCCCAGUAGUC
This 440-nucleotide ribosomal RNA is filed under the name uncultured bacterium. Its description in RNAcentral is "partial 16S ribosomal RNA". It matches the Rfam family "Bacterial small subunit ribosomal RNA", at positions 338 to 795 of the family's 1533-position model. The record is from RNAcentral.